This 1460-nucleotide long non-coding RNA is filed under the name Homo sapiens (human). RNAcentral describes it as "HSALNT0079516". Lineage: Eukaryota; Metazoa; Chordata; Mammalia; Primates; Hominidae. The record is from RNAcentral.
AAAAGAGGAGGAUUUGUAUGUGUGUGGUGAACUACAAGUGAUUCUUUGUGGUAGUGGUAUAAAAUUUGAGUCAACAAGAGUAAAGGUGAGGUUGGAGAGGUCAGAAUGGGGCAGAUUUUGGCAGGCUUUGCACACAACGGUAAGGAGCUUGAACUUGAUCCUGUAGGUGGUAAGCGGCCAUUCAAGAUUUAAGCAGACAGGGCUCCACCACAUUGCCCAGGCUGGUCUCAAAGUCCUAGGCUCAUGCGAUCCUCCCACCUCAACCUCCCAAAGUGCUGGAACUACAGGUGUCAGCCACAGCCCCCUGUGAGGAUGCUUAAUCACUCGAGGACGGUAUAAAGGUACAGAAGAACAGCGAGCCACAGGUGGGCCUCAUCCCAUCAGCUGAAGGCCUUACAGGAACAAAGAUUGACCUCCCAGUAUAAGAAGUAAUCUGCCAGCAGGCUGCCUUUGGACUCCAACUGCAACUCUUCCCUGGGUUUCCAGCCUGCCAGCCUACCCUGCAGACUUUGGACUUGCACCUCCACAACCAUACGUUUCCAAAAUCUGGAGAGCGGCUGUGAGUUUGCAGUGCAGUAUGGGGAGAGACCAGAACCCACCGGAAGCCUCCAGGUGCUGCAGUGAGGAGGAGCUGGAACCCUUCUCCUCCAGGUGCCAGCUCGCGCUGCUGUGGUUCUCAUCUGUAGAGGACGUGGACCAUCCAGGGAAUCACCUGCAGCUGACAGAGGAAACUCUGAAGCCCACCAGGCCUGUACAGACUGGGGAAACACCAGUGCCUGAGGAUAGUGGCUAAACUGCCAGAGAACAUGGGGCUGAGGUGGAGCCUGGAUGACUCUUCUGCCUCUGAGCAAAGCUGCUUGCCCUACACACAACAGUAUUGUCUUAACAUCUGCUGAGUUCCCAGGUCCUCUUAGCAGCAGGCAGAGGCAUUCAGAGCCCAGACCCCAAAGACAUGCUGAUCUGGUUUAAACCUGACUGUGCUACUCAUCAACUGGGGGACCUAGGCAGGUUACAUUGUCUUUUUGUGCCUCAGUUUCCUCAUCUAUAGAAUAGAGGUAUUCUAGUUUCCUGUGAUUUCUGUAAUAAAUUUACAAACUUUGUAACAAAUUACCACAAAUUUGGUGGCUUCAAACGAUAGAAAUUUAUUCUCUCACAAACCUGGAGACCAAAAGUCUAAAGUCUCUAUCAUUGGACUGAAAUAAAAGUGCAGGUGGGGCCAGACACAGUGGCUCACACUUGUAAUCCCAGCACUUCGGGAGGCCAAGGCGGGCGGAUCAUGAGGUUAGGAGUUUGAGACAAGCCUGGCCAAUAUGGUGAAACCCCGUCUCUACUAAAAAUACAAAAUUAGCCAGGCGUGGUGGUGCAUGCCUGUAAUCCCAGCUACUUGGGAGGCUGAGGCAGGUGUAUCUCUUGAAACCAGGAGGCGGAGGUUGCGGUGAGCCAAAAUCAUGCCAUUGCAC